CUGGGUGAUACUUUCUGUGUCGGACAACACUGGCACAGCGGCUUUCCUUGGCUUUGAUACGGAGGUGCCUAAACUGACCCACAGAUUGUGGAGGUAGGUGUUAAUGCUCAGGUUUACACUGACAUGCCUCGAUCACUGGCUGAUAGUGUUGGGAAUACCUAUAUCUUUCAGCUCAGAAUGAAAGACUCCAACUUCACUGCAAACCACCAAACCUUUACCAUUUCCCGCAUAGUUCCUGCACGAGAGCUUGCACCUAUGCCAACGUUUGCUGUGAGUGUUCGUCACUUAUCCUAAUGUAAUUAGCUGUUUAUAAAAAUAAAUGGUCAGUCUUGGUUAUGUUCAUAACAGGAAGGUGUAAAGGUCCCUGAGGCAGCGCUUCCUGGAGCUGUGGCACCAGGAUCAGAUGUCAGAGAUGUUAACACUUGCAAAGUUGCAGAGCAAGCAACUACACCUGAUGGUUCACUUUCCGGACGUUUACCAGCAGCGAAAGAACAAGUUGAUCUGGAAGAGAAUGCCCCCAAGAAAGCACGUGUGGGAUGAGUCCCCUGUUCCGAGGCCAUGCAGUCUUCAUUAGUAGUCCUUUCCUAAGCUCCCUAUAUAUCCAGCAUAGGCUUUCAUCAUCUGAAUACGCAAACUUCUUCGGUGUCUUGACGUCUUCAUGGACAUAAAAUCUGGCAUACAUAUUUCAGUGAGAGGUUUUGAGUAUCAAAAACAUUCCAUGUGAGUUAUACUAUCAAGUUUCAGUUUAAGCUUCCACCAUAAUAGGCAUUUACUUCUUAUUCAUCUAUACAUACAAACACUAAAAAAAAUUACAGGAAAAAAUAAUUAUUGCAUUGCUUGCAUUAGUAACAAUCUUUAGAGAUAGGCUCAGCAGGAGUCAGAAAUGCCUUUACUUGACGUACAGGUCUGAGGUUUCCUAACCGAAUUGCGUAAUGUUCCAUUAUACAUGCACCAUAAAAUCCCUUCAUAUGUCAGGCCUCUAAAUUCUUUAUCACCAAAAUCCAAUAUGCACCAGAAAGUAAUAUUUUGAAAGUUCAUAUAUCUACAGGCAAUUCUCACGUGUCCCUGACCCCCAACUAAGAACUAUAUUAUAACGCUCCUACCAUCCAGUUCAUUUCGUAACUACGUAUAUAGAAAAUACAGUCUAUAUCAAUAUAUCACCCAACGUCUACAGAAAAAAAUAAAAAUAAAAAUGAUUAAACAAAUAUAAGUUAAAUUCUACUAGUUUAAAAACUAAGCACCCUAAGAAAACUUUAAAAUAAAUAGUACAAAUAACGUUGCUUAAUUAAAACAUAAGAUUCC
Molecule: long non-coding RNA, 1302 nt
Organism: Brassica oleracea var. oleracea
Lineage: Eukaryota; Viridiplantae; Streptophyta; Magnoliopsida; Brassicales; Brassicaceae
Exons: 3
Source: RefSeq, a predicted model, not a curated record